GACGAACGCUGGCGGCGUGCUUAACACAUGCAAGUCGAGCGGUAAGGCCCUUCGGGGUACACGAGCGGCGAACGGGUGAGUAACACGUAGGAACUUUCUUCAAGAUGGGCAUAUCCUCCCGAAAGGGGGUGCAAUUCCCAAUACGGCCGCAAGGUUAAAGUCGCAAGACGCUUGAAGUGAGGCCUGCGGACCAUCAGCUAGUUGGUAAGGUAACGGCUUACCAAGGCUAUGACGGUUAGCGGAUCCGAGAGGAUGACCCGCCACACUGGGACUGCGA
RNAcentral lists this ribosomal RNA (277 nucleotides) under uncultured bacterium. RNAcentral's name for it is "partial 16S ribosomal RNA". It matches the Rfam family "Bacterial small subunit ribosomal RNA", at positions 28 to 324 of the family's 1533-position model. The record is from RNAcentral.